GCCCCUGUAGCUCAGGGGAUAGAGCAGCGGUUUCCUAAACCGUUGGUCGGAAGUUCGAUUCUUCCCAGGGGCGCCA
This 76-nucleotide transfer RNA is filed under the name Candidatus Cloacimonadota bacterium. RNAcentral's name for it is "tRNA-Arg". It matches the Rfam family "tRNA". Rfam says of the family: Transfer RNA (tRNA) molecules are approximately 80 nucleotides in length. Their secondary structure includes four short double-helical elements and three loops (D, anti-codon, and T loops). RNAcentral also lists the same sequence under 1 other name. Lineage: Bacteria; Pseudomonadati; Candidatus Cloacimonadota. The record is from RNAcentral.